This 1378-nucleotide long non-coding RNA is filed under the name Polistes fuscatus (common paper wasp). RNAcentral's name for it is "uncharacterized LOC122520199". The record is from RNAcentral. Lineage: Eukaryota; Metazoa; Arthropoda; Insecta; Hymenoptera; Vespidae.
GAAAGAGGGAUACCUUAUAGUCCCCCUACUCGUGUCUCAAGUGCGCAUGCGCCUUCUCUUCAAAGAGGAACGAGGCAUUGUGAAAUGUAAUGACUUAAAGUAUGUAUUGGUGAUUCCAUAUGCAAAAAAUCCGUGUAAUUGAUCAAUUACAUUUGAACUCACUACAAAUAGAAAAAGGAAGAAAUCUAGAUGAAUAGUGUGUCGCAAUCGAAACCUUGUUUUUAUUUGUCUAUUUUAAUUUUUAUCUCAAGAUGCCAAAAACAAAUUUUCAACUCUUAAUGGAAAGUACAACUUGAAAUAAAGUAAUGGAAAUCAAAUUAUUACCGAAAAUUGGAAGGGAACGUACUCGGAAAUAUAGAGUACGACUGAAAGUAUUAAAAAUGAGUCGUUUACCAAUAUGAGAAGAAACAUUCAUAGUACUUGUAUAUGUGCAUUGUCACGCGUUAUCAGUAUUGAUGGAUUAUAUAUAAUCACACUCAAUAAUGACAUGACGUUUUAUCAUGGUCGGACACAAUCAACGGCGAUGGUAUUUUUACAAGAGAAGUUUCACAGACUUUUGGCUAAUUGUAUGGAUAUUACUGAUCAACAGAUGCUUUAGUUCAUUGGACAAACACAUGGACUGACGAUUUACACUUUUAAUUGUCAAAGUUUACGAGCUCAUGUUGCGGAUGCGUCGAACACUGUCUUACACAAUUUUAAUGUAAUAAUCUUUUCUGAGACUUGGCUGAAUAACCAUGAACAAAUCAGUUUGCCGAAUUUUAACUAUACCAUUCAGUAUAAAAGAUUGAAUUCUUGGGCAACAGGAGUUGCAGUAUACUAUAAUCAGAAUAAUGUAAAUCUGAUUACACCACGUAUAGAAGUUACUACUCAACAGUCACAAGUAUACACCGCAUCUACGACAUCGGUUGGUAAUAUUUGUAUUACUGAAUGUUAAACGAGAAAUAACAUAUAAUAGUUAUUAUUGGCGUUUAUAUCUCUUCGAAAUAGAAAGUGGAUGAUAUCUAUUUUCUGCAACAUUUAUUACUUGUAUAGAGUCGUGAUGAUGCUAAAAUUUUUGGUAGGAAGGAGGACUAGGUACAACUCAUACUAGCUGGAGAUUUCAAUGUUAAUUUUGCAUCCGAGAAUUUAGCAAAGCUUGUUGACUUUCUGUGGGAAAAAUUUCAUUUGCAAAUAAAUAAUGACUGCAAUAUCUCAACAAUGAAGUCUGGAACCACGAUGGAUGCUUUAUUCUCUCGAUUUUUAAACAAAAUCAAGUCGAGAACAUACAUAUAAUAUUUGUAUUCAGUCUGUUCUGUUUGUUGCCUUUUACAACACUUUCACUCACGAAUCCUCUUAAUGUACAUAUCUUUUGUAAAUUAAUAUAUCUGUCGAAUCUAAA